UUUUUUUUUUUUUUUUGCAUAAUGAAAGAAGUAUGGUGUGAGGACUAGCAGAGUAGGAGUCAGGAGACAGAAUCAUCUGGGUUGUAGUUUUAAAUUUAUUUAUUUAUUUUAUUUGCUUUUAGGGCCAAAUCCCUGGCAUGUGGAAGUUCCCAGACUAGGGGCUGAAACAGCUACAGCUGCCGCCCUACACCACAGCCACAGCAAUGCAGGAUCUGAGCCACGUCUGCACCCUACACCACAGCUCACGGUAAUGCUGGAUCCCUGACCCACUGAGCUAAGCCAGGGAUUGAACCUGCAUCCUCAUGGAUACUACUCAGAUUCAUUUCCACUGUGCCAUGACGGGAACUCCUGUAGUUAACUUUGACUGUUAUAUAAUGUCAGUCAAGGUCAUACACAGGACACCCAAACUGGGUCAUGUGAGGGGAGCUUAUCAAGUGGACUAGUUGAAAAGUUGUGGUUGGAGUUUAAGGAAAACAGAAAGGAUUGGUGCAAUGUUCUCAGGCUGGCCGAAAAGGAAAGCUGUCUGCAUUGCUGGCCAUCAAGGGGCAAGGAGAGGGAGUGAUGAGAAGAACCAGAAAGAGAAGACUGGAUGGAGAGGGCUGAUGUCUCAGCUUGCAGGAGAAAGAGCAAGGUCUUGCAAGACUGAAGGGCACAUGAAGGACAAAGGGAAAAUAUGGAACACAGUCAUUAUCGUGAUAAACUGGGACACAUCUCAACCUCUCUGGGGCUUGAUUUCUUCAUCAUUAUAAUGAGACAAUUGGACCACAUGCAAUUUAUGCUGCCUUCCAGCUCUGACAUUUUAAGAUUUUAUGAAUCCACCCUCCACCCAUGUCUCAAGAGAUUGUCAGAAUAACUUCACAAAAGAAAGUAUAAAAGCCAACCCUGGCCAGGCUGAUGCUGGCAAUGUUUGGCAUCCCUUCUGCACGUACAUGUUGAUGGAAGCAGCAAGGCAGACAUGGGUGGCUGGGGUGGGAGGGCAUCUGUCUGUUCUAGAAGGUAACUCGGGUAUUGUUCAAUGAUCGAAGAAGGCAGCUGGAGAAUAUGAAAUUAUCCUGACAAAGGAUGUCAGGUAACUCAAAACUCCUUGCUCUGUUUUGGAAGCAGAGGGAAAGACAGCUUAGGAGGUACUGCCGAACAUACUUGGUAAGCCCUUUCAGGGAGGCCUGUGUCCUGACAGUUCAAGGCCCAUUCCGAGAACCAGGGCACACAGGCUCCUGGGCCUGGAUGAGGAUGCUGGGGAGUCCUGGCCUUGACUGGGCAAAGGAGGGAGUGGGACUGAGAGCAGGAGAUCAUACCCGCCUGGAUCCUCUGAGGCUCAACCAAGUUGCCUAUCAAGUUUUCCGAGAUACUUAGUUGUUCUUAGCGCUCAAGGUCUCUGGCUGCCCACUUCCUGACAGAGCACUAAGCUUGUCUGAACAGACCCAAAACCGGAGCUGUGUGAGGGCCAUCUUCCCUCUCCAGCUGCUGGGGACCCGGUUUGCUUGUUCACAAAGUCUGAGGGACCUGAUGUGUGAUGAUGUGAAGGAUGCUGGCAUUUUUCUGGCUUUCCCCUCUUCCCUCUACUCAAACACCUGUCAGUGGAAGGACACUAUUACAGAAUCAGCCUUUGGUUUUCCUUGGACUCGUGAUGGGGAAUAUUAACCCUUUAUCACAACAUCUCAGGGCCCCAACACCCAGGGAGCAAAAUGUGUGCAGGUGUGGGCGUGUAUGCGCACCUGUGUGUUAAAAUGUUUAUGCAUGUGUGUGCCAGGAAAGUGAUGUGGUGCAGGCUCACACUGAGCUGGUUCUACUUCACAACUGUCUUUCCUGUGGCCUGAAGAGUAAGAAGUGGGCUAAGGGUUGUGCAUUGAAAGACCAAUACACCUGCUUACUAGGUGUUUGACCUUGGAUGAGUCUUCUGCUCUUAGUUUCCUCAUUUAUAAAAUGGAGCUAAUAAAGAUAGUCAUACAUACCACACCAAGGUGAUGUAAUGAUAAAAUGAGAUCAAUUCCAUAAAAAAGCAAAAGAACUCUGUAAAACAUAAAUUGCUUAAAAUUUCAAGGGGUGAUUAUCGCUCAUCUUAAAUUGUCGUGACAGAAGUACAUCCUUUGAAGGCAAACAGGACACCUCAAGAUGUGUUAACAAACACAGCACCCACAACAGAAUGCACCACGAGUUUCUUAAAAAUAUGUUGGGUGUACAAAAUAUCAGAUACGGACCCAAAGAAUAAUCCAUGUUUUGAAGAAAAGUUCAGUUAAUUGAAUGAAUUAUUUCCCCUCCCUCCCUUUUUGCCUAUUUAAAAAAAAGUCUUAACAUAGAGUUACAAUCAAGGGUAAAGCUCAUCCAUGCACAGAGAACGAACAUAAAUAGUUCUCUGGAGGGUGAAGAAAUCCGACACAUGUAGAGAAAGGAACUUGAAAGAAUAUUUCUGCAAUAGACAUAGAUGCAUGACUUCACAGAUGUUUACAGUUAUAAAUCUCACCUAUUUUCACAGAACAUUUUUCUGAGGCCGUACCUGGCAGCCCUCAUGAAGGCAGUAGAAAAAAAUUGCAGCCUGAUGAGAAUUAGAAGUUACCCACACUGACAAGAAUCCACGGCCACUCUAAGAGAGCUGUGGGAAAAAGCAUUUCACCCCCAAGCCCCCCAUCAUUCCCUCGACACCCACUGAAGGGUUCCACUCAAUGCUCCAACUACUCUGUUGAACAGGAAAGGUCCUUGCCAAGCCCCAUGGGCAUGCACCUGCGUUAUCCCUACCCAGAGACUCCAUCACAACCUUCCUGUGGAGGAGGCUCACGGGCUGAGGGGAGGCUCACGCGUCUCCCUAAGAGGUGGUCUGGCUUGAGUUCAAGUGUGCCAGCUACGCUGAGGACCAGGAGAGCCUGGCUCACCAUUGGCCUAAGCUGCAAAUGGGGCUGCCCUUCCUUUUGCAGUCCCCUUGAACUACUGAAAAUCACCAGCCAUCCCAGCCCCACACAGCUGAGGCCUUCUCCAGCUGUGAAGGAAAAACAUAAUGGGCAAUAUCUGCUCUCUCCCUCCUCCCUUUUUUCUCCCUUCCCUGUAGACAGACUCAGCAUGAGGUUCCUGAGGAAUUAGUUGCUGGAGGACGCCUCCCCCGCUGGCAGCCAAAUGCCAACGGCAAGUCCUGCCCAUGUAAUGUGUCUGACAUUUCUGCAUCUCUCUGGGUUAACAUUGCUUGACACAUACUUUUUAAAAAUACCUCUUAAAAAGGUUUGUGUGUGUGUGUGUGUGUACGCAUGAUUUCUGUUGUUUCAAGGCAUCGCUAGCUGUAUUUAUUAUUAUUUAGAAAUUAUUCUCUUAGUCGCCGACACAUCUCUGCUUUGGCAUUUCUACUUAGGCAGAAGUAAUUGGUUUCAGAAGGCUGGAAAUCCUUAUUUGAAACCAUGUGCACACUCCUGUUGAUGGAUGCCAUAAAAUGCUCAAAUAUCAUCUUCCCUCAAGUAAAA
RNAcentral lists this long non-coding RNA (3443 nucleotides) under Sus scrofa (pig). RNAcentral describes it as "lncRNA (ENSSSCG00035051753.1)". Lineage: Eukaryota; Metazoa; Chordata; Mammalia; Artiodactyla; Suidae. The record is from RNAcentral.